GGAAGCGGCCCUCAGCCCUUGGCCCAGCUGUUCUAGGCCUGCUUUCAGGGAUCCAGGAAGAAAGUGACCAACCCAUGCAAACUUAGGGCAAAACUAACCAUAUUUAACAGUAGGCCAAAAUGCGAAUUUGAAACUCAUUCCGAAUGCCUUUCCAGGGAGGUGGCCACAGCUGAUGAAAGACCUCACGCUUGUUCCAACAGGCCCUGGGAGCUGAAUUGUAUCCCUGAAACUGGCCUAGCUUCCUUCAGCUCAACAGAGCAGCUGAAAGACUUUUGAGUUUGCCACAUCUGCGUCACAACUUAAUUCUUGAAAAGGCCGUAUAAAAUGCUGCUUCCUCAGGAUGCCUGCUCUUUAUCAGCAUCCCUGUCUCCAUGGUGAUAGCCUUCUUGCCGUAAUCAGAGGGAUGACCUACUUAACCAUGGAAAUAUUGGCUUCAUUCGAGUUAACUUUGCUGUAAGAUGUUUCAUCCCUGAGUCACGAGAAGGG
This 486-nucleotide long non-coding RNA is filed under the name Homo sapiens (human). Its description in RNAcentral is "HSALNT0349791". Lineage: Eukaryota; Metazoa; Chordata; Mammalia; Primates; Hominidae. The record is from RNAcentral.